UCUCCGUUGGUGAACCAGCGGAGGGAUCAUUACUGAGUUUACGCUCUAUAACCCUUUGUGAACCAAACUUGUUGCUUCGGGGGCGACCCUGCCGACGACUUCGUCGCCGGGCGCCCCCGGAGGUCUUCUAAACACUGCAUCUUUGCGUCGGAGUUUAAAACAAAUUAAACAAAACUUUCAACAACGGAUCUCUUGGUUCUGGCAUCGAUGAAGAACGCAGC
This 221-nucleotide unclassified non-coding RNA is filed under the name uncultured fungus. RNAcentral describes it as "sequence contains ITS1, 5.8S rRNA gene". The stretch from base 173 to 221 matches the Rfam family "5.8S ribosomal RNA", at positions 1 to 49 of the family's 154-position model. Lineage: Eukaryota; Fungi. The record is from RNAcentral.